AUGGCUGCCCGAGGCCGUCAGAUCCAUCACCGUCGUCGUUCUUUUGGUCGAGGCAGUCGUCGUCCACGUGCUCCUCUUCACCACCACAGCUGGACGCUGGUGAGGCUAGCCUCCCCCUCCAAGCGCAGGAAACAGCUGUUCAUACAUCGCCAAUUAUGGAUAUGGAUCCAUCUUGCUGCGCUGGAUGAAGGGUUGGAUGGAACAAGAAUUGCUUCCUCUAGAGAUCGGGCUGGGCUUGACCGGGUUUUUGGAGUUCUCUUCUCGUUUCUUAGGAUCCUCAUGCUGUUUGACAAGGGGUUCCUUGCAAUGGGAAAUGUUCUCUUCGUCUCUGGUGUUCCGCUAACGAUUGGACUAAAGUCAACUUUCCAGUUCUUCACAAAGCCUAAGAAUCGCAAGGUCAUAUACAUGUAA
This 411-nucleotide ribosomal RNA is filed under the name Triticum aestivum (bread wheat). RNAcentral's name for it is "partial small subunit ribosomal RNA". The record is from RNAcentral. Lineage: Eukaryota; Viridiplantae; Streptophyta; Magnoliopsida; Poales; Poaceae.